Canis lupus familiaris (dog) is the source of this 1544-nucleotide long non-coding RNA. RefSeq lists it as uncharacterized. Lineage: Eukaryota; Metazoa; Chordata; Mammalia; Carnivora; Canidae. The record is from RefSeq and is a predicted model, not a curated record. The transcript has 3 exons.
UCCAACACCUACGUGAGCCGGCGGAUCCUCAACUGCAGGAGCGAUGGUACACCUACCUAUCCUUUUGCUUUAUUGCUUCCUACAGAAUCACAGCUGAUAAAUGGCAUAUUAUCCUGGAUAACUGGGUAAUUAAAUAUUCACCAGGAUAUGCUUUGAAAUGAAAAGAUACAAAAAGUGCAAUCACCUAAUGGGUAAAUAAAUGUUCACGUCAAGAUACUAGUAUAUUUGUACACGGAAGCCAAGUAAUACUUACAGGAGGUCCGGGAAGACCCUGAAGACCAGUGAAGCCUCUGUGGCCCUUCUGACCUCGGUCACCUCGGUCUCCAUGAUCACCUUUGUCACCUCGAGGUCCUUGGGGUCCCUAGAAAGAGGGUCAUGGCGUGGAUAUUGCUUGGUGAGACUAUAAUUUACUACAGUUUUAAUUUUUACAGUUGUAUUUACUACAAUUGUGAACACCGUACAAGGAUUCCUUAUCCAUGGGGGACACGUCCCACGAUCCGCAGUGGAAGCCUGAACGCUAUAAGCAUUACAUUUUUCCUAUACAUACAUAUCUCAGAGUGAGGUUUAUAAAUUAGGCACGAAUUAAGAGAUUAACAAUCAUGAAUAAUAAAAUAGAACAAUUAUAACAAUAUAAUAAUGUGAAUGUGGCCGCUCUCUCUCUCUCUCUCUGUCUUCCUGUACUGUUCUCACCUUUCUUCUGGUGAGGAUGUGAUAUUUGAUAAAAUGCCUACGUGAUGAGAUGAAGCGAGGUGAAUGACGCAGGCGUUGUGACGGAGUGUCUGGCUACUACUGACCUUCUGAUGACAUGUCAGGAGGAGGAUCGUUUGCUUCCUGACUGCUGUUAACCACAGAGUCCUUGAUCCAGGGUGCGUGUACGAUUAAGUCCAGGCUCACAUGUAGCUCCCUGAGGUGUAACUGUCGGUAUGAAACUGGGUCUCCUUACCGGAUCUCCUCUUUGUCCUGCAUCUCCUGGAGCACCGACAGGGCCCGGGGUUCCAGGGGCACCCUGAGAGCCCGGCAGACCUGCAGGUCCCGGGUCUCCACGAUCACCCUGAAGAGAAUAACCAUGGGAUUAUUCUUUUCAUAUUUAUCAUCAAACAGCGGCAUUCUAUACCCUCAUGCUAUUCGCGAACACAUCAAAAUACUGCCACUUACGGGAUUGCCACGGGAGCCAGGAGGGCCAACUAAACCUCGAGGGCCAGGUUCACCCUAGAAAGCAGAUGUUAGAUGGUUAUUGUCCAAAGCGGGAGCAGAAUAUAAUGCAACUGGAGGACCCUGAGCACGAAGAGCAGGGCAGACAGGGGAGAGAGCGCUGAGACGACCUGGCCCAACCACCACACUUUAUGAAACAGAGAACACUAUGUGGAAGAGCUAUCAUACAGACUUCCUGAUCCUGAGCCCACAAAAUAGGAAAUUUACGAUACUACCUUUUCUCCAGUGGGACCUGCAGGACCUGGAGGACCCAAGGGGCCGGGAAGACCCUGUCAAUGAACAGAACACAGGCACACUGAAGACGGGAAUGCAUGGAAUGCUCCAUGAUUAAA